UACGAAUGGGAACCGCGCCGCCGUCGACGUCGCUCUGUGGUUUGCGUUCAUUUCUACGUUUAAACCGAUUCCUUUAGGUUUUUUUUUUCUUUUUUCUUUUACAGGUACUUUGUCAAGAGUAACAAACGAUAUCUGGGAGACGCUGAUGGACGCUGCGUCUAGUCAACGACCGUAGGUUGUGCACGGCUGCCGGAGCACCUUCGGGAAACGCUAACCGCCGUGCAUCUCUGCUCCCACGGUCCUGCUCGACAGUGGCUGAGACGUGCAACACAGUUGCGCCCAACUUCCCUCUAUGCUACAAGCACCCCAGGAGCUACUAUCGCCCGAAGAUGUCACAGGUGGUCAUGAUUCUUUGAGGCAGCGGAAUUUCACCGCAGUGCAUCUUUAACACCUUCAGUUUCUUUUCUACUGCAAGCCUGGUACUACAGCUUGUGGCCCGUGUAGAAGAAUAGAGGGGUGAAACCAAGGCUCAAGUGACUGUGGACUCAUGGCCCUCAGACAGCUAGAGCACCAGACCAGGCACAGACCAGAGCCAUUUAUGCUCCACUUCUAGAGGACAUGUUGCAGUUUGAAACUACCAAGACUCAUGGAAGCUGCUGACAGGAGGCUGUUGAAGCCGUGGUCGCAAGGCACCCAUGACAUUGAAGUCUUCCAAACAAGGCACUAUGAAGGCAUGACUUGUAGCGGCACUGGAGCAAGCGACACGGUCCGGGUGAGCCGCAAGUGUAACUGUUACACUGUAAACAGGAAAUAUAGACAUGUGUCCGACAAAGCACAGACUCAUAAAACUUUCAUGUAGCAAUAAUAGUUUAAUUUAACUAAACAGUGCAUCAACAGAGCCUGACCCAAGAAUGGGGAAUUGGGGAACCGGCCAAUGUGUAGAGUCUAACAGAAACAAGGAAGGCGAUAAAAACAAAUGGGGCAACAUGUUAAGAUAGGACAAUAAUGUCGUGCCUAUUUUUUGUUUUCAAUUAAGAUUUUAUAGGAGCUAGCAAAAUAUGUCCUUGCAAUGGAAUAGACCUACUUUUACAAAAAGACCUUCAAUGUUUUUGUUAAAAUAAAUUGCGUCUGAGGAGGUGGAAAUAUGAUUUUCCCAAUUGCGCAUUAACAUAUCUUCGAGCUCCACAGGGUAAUAAAACUUCCCGAAACGUAAAUAUUUUUAUGCAUGCUCAGAAGUUUUUUUAAAUAUAGAAAAAGUCAAACAAUUUUUUUGUGAGAA
Ixodes scapularis (black-legged tick) is the source of this 1219-nucleotide long non-coding RNA. RefSeq lists it as uncharacterized. Lineage: Eukaryota; Metazoa; Arthropoda; Arachnida; Ixodida; Ixodidae. The transcript is spliced from 5 exons. The record is from RefSeq and is a predicted model, not a curated record.